Molecule: long non-coding RNA, 1727 nt
Filed under: Nicotiana tabacum (common tobacco)
Lineage: Eukaryota; Viridiplantae; Streptophyta; Magnoliopsida; Solanales; Solanaceae
Description: long non-coding RNA (NTAB_LNC000683)
Source: RNAcentral
GAAACACAAAAAAGCUGCGCAGACAAUACACGGACCCAUCCCCCAUCGGAUCAUCCUCAACACACCCCUCCCCGUCUUCGUCUCCUUCACACACUCUGCCCCAAGUCACCGGACUCAACCCAACUCGCCGGAGUCCCUCCAUAACCGCCAUAACAGACCAUACUCUUCAAAGAACAAACCAUCUUCAACCUCAAAACACCCCCUGAACUUCUACUUCUUCACUCUUGAACAUCCUUUUAAGUAGUCAAAGCCAUCAGCAAAGAACUCCAUCGACCUCAUAUCAGUAGCACUAAACACACACAUAGUCACACACUGAAGCAACAAAGGCAAAAAAGCAGCAAACAAAAAUCGGGGCUGAACAGUGAGGCGUCCCAAAGCAUUUUACAACCUUUUUCUGGCGAGUCUCGAGUUCUUUGGUUGAGUUUUGAUGACUGUUUCCAUUGGUUCUUUGUCGAGGUUCCAUUCGAGGUCGACGACGUUGGUUUCGCAUUCCAUUCACUUCGUAGAUGAUUUGUUGUACAAACUUCCCUUAUCAAUAUAAUCGGAAGGUUUUUUGAGAAAGAAAGCUACCAUCGUCAUAUGCUUUGGUUUGAGNNNNNNNNNNNNNNNNNNNNNNNNNGGACCUAGCCCACAAUUGCCAAGCCCAUAAUUCCUAGGCCCAUACCCUUUAACCUAAAACACUACCACUAACCUAGACCUAGGUAUAUAAAAACAAGCUAACACUAAAGAAUAAAUGAAAGGGAGAAGGCAGAAACACAAAAAAGCUGCGCAGACAAUACACGGACCCAUCCCCCAUCGGAUCAUCCUCAACACACCCCUCCCCGUCUUCGUCUCCUUCACACACUCUGCCCCAAGUCACCGGACUCAACCCAACUCGCCGGAGUCCCUCCAUAACCGCCAUAACAGACCAUACUCUUCAAAGAACAAACCAUCUUCAACCUCAAAACACCCCCUGAACUUCUACUUCUUCACUCUUGAACAUCCUUUUAAGUAGUCAAACCCAUCAGCAAAGAACUCCAUCGACCUCAUAUCAGUAGCACUAAACACACACAUAGUCACACACUGAAGCAACAGAAGCACAAAAGCAGCAAACAAAAAUCGGGGCUGAACAGUGAGGCGUCCCAAAGCGUUUUACAACCUUUUUCUGGCGAGUCUCGAGUUCUUUGGUUGAGUUUUGAUGACUGUUUCCAUUGGUUCUUUGUCGAGGUUCCGUCCGAGUUCGAUGGCGUUGGUUUCGCAUUCCAUUCACUUCGUAGAUGAUUUGUUGUACAAACUUCCCUUAUCAAUAUAAUCGGAAGGUUUUUGAGAAAGAAAGCUACCAUCGUCAUAUGCUUUGGUUUGAGAGGAGCUGUUGAUUUGGCACUCUCCUUAUCGUUUAAAGUAAGUUGUUUUCUGCUAAGUUUGCAAUUCAUGUGGCUUCAUGGAUCAUCUACUCUUGAAGUUUGGAUACAAAAUAAUUUUUACUUAGGUUACUGAUAUGUCUCGAAAUGAUUUAGUAUAAAAUGUUUGUUGUUUUCAUUUUGUUUCUUAGUAUGAUAUGAGUCAGUAAUGAUUUUGAAUAUGGAAGACACCCAAUAAUUUCGCAGCUUUUGACCCUUUAUAACCCCAAAUUAUAGGAAAUGAAUACACCGUAGCUUGCUUUAGGCGCGAUUAAUAAUAAAUAUCGUGACUAUGGGUACGGUUCCCGUGACAUGGUCAUGAUACAUAAACUCGGGUGUGCAUUUAUA